UACGUAGGGUGCGAGCGUUGUCCGGAAUUAUUGGGCGUAAAGGGCUCGUAGGCGGUUUGUCGCGUCGGGAGUGAAAUCCACUGGCUUAACUGGUGGCUUGCUUUCGAUACGGGCAGACUGGAGGUAUGCAGGGGAGAACGGAAUUCCUGGUGUAGCGGUGAAAUGCGUAGAGAUGUGGAGGAACACCGAUGGCGAAGGCAGCCCCCUGGGCUAACACUGACGCUCAUGCACGAAAGCGUGGGGAGCAAACAGG
RNAcentral lists this ribosomal RNA (253 nucleotides) under uncultured bacterium. RNAcentral describes it as "partial 16S ribosomal RNA". It matches the Rfam family "Bacterial small subunit ribosomal RNA", at positions 524 to 776 of the family's 1533-position model. The record is from RNAcentral.